RNAcentral lists this ribosomal RNA (491 nucleotides) under uncultured bacterium. RNAcentral's name for it is "partial 16S ribosomal RNA". It matches the Rfam family "Bacterial small subunit ribosomal RNA", at positions 29 to 506 of the family's 1533-position model. The record is from RNAcentral.
AGUGAACGCUGGCGGUAGGCCUAACACAUGCAAGUCGAACGGCAGCACAGUAAGAGCUUGCUCUUACGGGUGGCGAGUGGCGGACGGGUGAGGAAUACAUCGGAAUCUACUUUUUCGUGGGGGAUAACGUAGGGAAACUUACGCUAAUACCGCAUACGACCUACGGGUGAAAGCAGGGGAUCUUCGGACCUUGCGCGAUUGAAUGAGCCGAUGUCGGAUUAGCUAGUUGGCGGGGUAAAGGCCCACCAAGGCGACGAUCCGUAGCUGGUCUGAGAGGAUGAUCAGCCACCCUGGACCUGAGCCACGUCCCAGCCUCCUAGGGGAGGCAGCAGUGGGGAAUAUUGGACAAUGGGCGCAAGCCUGAUCCAGCCAUCCCGCGUGGGUGAAGAAGGCCUUCGGGUUGUAAAGCCCUUUUGUUGGGAAAGAAAGGCAGCAGGUUAAUCCCCCGCUGUUCUGCCGGUACCAAAAGAAUAAGCACCGGCUACCUUCGU